Molecule: ribosomal RNA, 501 nt
Filed under: uncultured bacterium
Lineage: Bacteria
Description: bacterial SSU rRNA
Rfam family: Bacterial small subunit ribosomal RNA
Source: RNAcentral
GAUGAACGCUAGCGGCAGGCCUAAUACAUGCAAGUCGAACGAGAUUGUUGUAGCAAUAUGACAUGAAAGUGGCGCACGGGUGCGUAACACGUAUGCAAUCUCCCUCUAAUUGGAGACUAGCUUCGAGAAAUCGGAAUUAAUACUCCAUAACAUUAUCGAAUGGCAUCAUUUGAUAAUCAAACUUCCGGGGAUUAGAGAUGAGCAUGCGCAACAUUAGCUAGUUGGUAAGGUAACGGCUUACCAAGGCUACGAUGUUUAGGGGGUCUGAGAGGAUGAUCCACCACACUGGUACUGAGACACGGACCAGACUCCUACGGGAGGCAGCAGUAGGGAAUAUUGGGCAAUGGAGGAAACGCUGACCCAGCCAUGCCGCGUGCAGGAUGACGGCCCUCUGGGUUGUAAACUGCUUUUAUACGGGAAGAAAAAAUACUACGUGUAGUAUACUGACGGUACCGUAAGAAUAAGGAUCGGCUAACUCCGUGCCAGCCGCCGCGGUAAGAC